AGCAAUAGGGCUAGUAUAUUCGGUGUAUGGAAGGACUGUAAGGUGUACAUGUCCAACUGGCAGGUGUCAUCUGACCUUGACCUCAUUUUCAUGGUUCAGUGGUUAUAGUUAAAUUUUUGUGUUUUGGUCUGUUUUUCUCAUACUAUAUGCAAUAGGUCUACUAUAUUUGUUGUAUGGAAUGAUUGUAAGGUGUACAUGUCUAGCGGGCAGAUGUCAUGUGACCUUGACCUCAUUUUCAUAGUUCAGUGGUCAAAGUUAAGUUUUUGAGUUUUGGUCUUUUUAUCUAAUACUAUAUGCCAUAGGUCAACUAUAUUUGGUGUAUGGAAAUAUUUUAUGAUCUUUAUGUCAGUCACGCAGGUUUUAUUUGACCGUGACCUCAUUUUCACGGUUCAUUGCACAGUGUUAAAUUUUUGUGUUUUGGUCAAUUUUUCUUAAACUAUAAGUAAUGGG
RNAcentral lists this long non-coding RNA (450 nucleotides) under Mytilus galloprovincialis (Mediterranean mussel). The record is from RNAcentral. Lineage: Eukaryota; Metazoa; Mollusca; Bivalvia; Mytilida; Mytilidae.